Non-coding RNA from Sphagnurus paluster, 72 nucleotides. The record is from the annotation of a GenBank genome assembly. Lineage: Eukaryota; Fungi; Basidiomycota; Agaricomycetes; Agaricales; Lyophyllaceae.
GGCCAAAUAGCUCAGUGGUAGAGCACCCUGUAUACAAUGGGGAGGUCCCAGGUUCAAUCCCUGGUCUGGUCA